CCUGAACGCUGGCGGCGUGGCUAAGACAUGCAAGUCGCACGGAGCCGGGUAGCAAUACCCGGUUUAGUGCGAACGGGUGAGUAAUGAAUCGCUAAUGUACCCCGGAUUCUGGGAUAGCCAGUCGAAAGGCUGGGUAAUACCAGAUGAUAUAACCGCUUCGCAUGAAGUGGUUCUCAAAGGAGCAAUCCGCUCUGGGAGCAGGCGAUUUCGUAUCAGCUUGNGGUGAGGUAACGGCUCACCAAGGCGACGACGCGUAGCCGGACUGAGAGGUUGGCCGGCCACAUUGGGACUGAGACACUGCCCAGACUCCUACGGGGGCUGCAGUAACGAAUCUUCCGCAAUGCACGAAAGUGUGACGGAGCGACGCCG
Molecule: ribosomal RNA, 369 nt
Filed under: uncultured bacterium
Lineage: Bacteria
Description: bacterial SSU rRNA
Rfam family: Bacterial small subunit ribosomal RNA
Source: RNAcentral